RNAcentral lists this ribosomal RNA (264 nucleotides) under uncultured bacterium. RNAcentral describes it as "partial 16S ribosomal RNA". It matches the Rfam family "Bacterial small subunit ribosomal RNA", at positions 53 to 339 of the family's 1533-position model. The record is from RNAcentral.
ACAUGCAAGUCGCACGGGCAGGGGUAACUCUGUCAGUGGCGGACGGGUGAGGAACGCGUAGGAACGUAUCCAUGGGUGGGGGAUAACGCCGGGAAACUGGCGCUAAUACCGCAUGUGUCCUGAGGGACAAAGCAGCGAUGCGCCUGUGGAGCGGCCUGCGUCCGAUUAGCUUGUUGGUGGGGUAAUGGCCUACCAAGGCUCCGAUCGGUAGCUGGUCUGAGAGGACGACCAGCCACACUGGGACUGAGACACGGCCCAGACUCC